Molecule: transfer RNA, 85 nt
Filed under: Bdellovibrionales bacterium RIFCSPHIGHO2_01_FULL_40_29
Lineage: Bacteria; Pseudomonadati; Bdellovibrionota; Bdellovibrionia; Bdellovibrionales
Also listed under: 1 other name
Description: tRNA-Leu
Rfam family: tRNA
About the family: Transfer RNA (tRNA) molecules are approximately 80 nucleotides in length. Their secondary structure includes four short double-helical elements and three loops (D, anti-codon, and T loops). Further hydrogen bonds mediate the characteristic L-shaped molecular structure. tRNAs have two regions of fundamental functional importance: the anti-codon, which is responsible for specific mRNA codon recognition, and the 3' end, to which the tRNAs corresponding amino acid is attached (by aminoacyl-tRNA synthetases). tRNAs cope with the degeneracy of the genetic code in two manners: having more than one tRNA (with a specific anti-codon) for a particular amino acid; and 'wobble' base-pairing, i.e. permitting non-standard base-pairing at the 3rd anti-codon position.
Source: RNAcentral
GCGCGGGUGGUGGAAUUGGUAGACACGCAGGUCUCAGAAGCCUGUGUCGAAAGAUGUAGGGGUUCAAGUCCCCUCUCGCGCACCA